AGCUCCAAUAGCGUAUAUUAAAGUUGUUGCAGUUAAAAAGCUCGUAGUUGGAUUUCUGGUAGAGGGUUAAGGCCCACUUGUGUGGUGCCGCAAUCCUUUGCCAUCCUUCUGUUAACCUUCGCGUCAUUUAACCGUCGCUUUGGGGCUCAGAUAUUUUACCUUGAGAAAAUUAGAGUGUUUCAGGCAGGCUAGUGCCCGGAUACAUUAGCAUGGAAUAAUGGAAUAGGACUUUAGCCUCUUCUGUUGGUCUGAGGGGUUGAAGUAAUGAUUAAUAGGGAUAGUUGGGGGCAUUAGUACUUAACUGUCAGAGGUGAAAUUCUCGGAUUUGUUAAAGACUAACCUAUGCGAAAGCAUUUGCCAAGGAUGUUUUCA
RNAcentral lists this ribosomal RNA (372 nucleotides) under uncultured eukaryote. RNAcentral describes it as "SSU rRNA". It matches the Rfam family "Eukaryotic small subunit ribosomal RNA", at positions 587 to 972 of the family's 1831-position model. The record is from RNAcentral.